UCCUAUGAUGGCAUGGAAUCUUUGAGACCUGAUCCUUAUGAUGACAACCAUAAGCAUAUCUUCUGAGGAC
Molecule: small nucleolar RNA, 70 nt
Filed under: Dichanthelium oligosanthes
Lineage: Eukaryota; Viridiplantae; Streptophyta; Magnoliopsida; Poales; Poaceae
Description: Small nucleolar RNA R66
Rfam family: Small nucleolar RNA R66
About the family: snoR66 is a C/D box small nucleolar RNA, which acts as a methylation guide for 18S ribosomal RNA in plants. snoR66 has been alternatively named snoZ269 in rice.
Source: Rfam by way of RNAcentral